RNAcentral lists this ribosomal RNA (451 nucleotides) under uncultured bacterium. RNAcentral's name for it is "bacterial SSU rRNA". It matches the Rfam family "Bacterial small subunit ribosomal RNA", at positions 354 to 796 of the family's 1533-position model. The record is from RNAcentral.
GUGGGGAAUUGUUCGCAAUGGGCGCAAGCCUGACGACGCAACGCCGCGUGGAGGAUGAAGGUCUUCGGAUUGUAAACUCCUGUUGAUCGGGACGAACAUCCAUUGGGAUAACACCCUGGUGGACUGACGGUACCGAUUGAGGAAGCCCCGGCUAACUCUGUGCCAGCAGCCGCGGUAAUACAGAGGGGGCAAGCGUUGUUCGGAAUUACUGGGCGUAAAGGGCGCGUAGGCGGCCGCCUAAGUCAGACGUGAAAUCCCUCGGCUCAACCGGGGAACUGCGUCUGAUACUGGGAGGCUUGAAUCCGGGAGAGGAAUGUGGAAUUCCAGGUGUAGCGGUGAAAUGCGUAGAUAUCUGGAGGAACACCGGUGGCGAAGGCGGCAUUCUGGACCGGUAUUGACGCUGAGGCGCGAAAGCCAGGGGAGCAAACGGGAUUAGAAACCCUGGUAGUCC